ACGAAUUUCGAUUCGGUCUUCUGUGCUGGUGGCAACACAUGUGCACGUUGAUCGUAAUUCCAUUCUCCUUUCAAUCGUCCAAGUGUGUUCGGUCGGCCUUUUGGGUCGAAGAAGCGUGGCCGCCAGGCUCGUUUCGUUCUGAGCGCACAUUGGUUAUUUCACCCACUCUGGGUACUCGAAACAAAGAAAACAAAUCAUAUAAAUUAAA
RNAcentral lists this unclassified non-coding RNA (208 nucleotides) under soil metagenome. RNAcentral's name for it is "partial internal transcribed spacer 1". The record is from RNAcentral.